UACGUAGGGGGCUAGCGUUGUCCGGAUUUAUUGGGCGUAAAGAGCGUGUAGGCGGCCAGGUAGGUCUGCUGUGAAAACUCGAGGCUCAACCUCGAGACGUCGGCGGAAACCAUCUGGCUAGAGUCCGGAAGAGGAGAGUGGAAUUCCUGGUGUAGCGGUGAAAUGCGUAGAUAUCUGGAGGAACACCGGUGGCGAAGGCGGCAUCCUGGACCGAUAUUGACGCUGAUGCGCGAAAGCCAGGGGAGCAAACGGG
This 253-nucleotide ribosomal RNA is filed under the name uncultured bacterium. RNAcentral describes it as "partial 16S ribosomal RNA". It matches the Rfam family "Bacterial small subunit ribosomal RNA", at positions 524 to 776 of the family's 1533-position model. The record is from RNAcentral.